RNAcentral lists this ribosomal RNA (439 nucleotides) under uncultured bacterium. RNAcentral's name for it is "partial 16S ribosomal RNA". It matches the Rfam family "Bacterial small subunit ribosomal RNA", at positions 339 to 795 of the family's 1533-position model. The record is from RNAcentral.
CUACGGGAGGCAGCAGUGGGGAAUAUUGCACAAUGGAGGAAACUCUGAUGCAGCAACGCCGCGUGGAGGAUGACACUUUUCGGAGCGUAAACUCCUUUUAUAUAGGAAGAAGAUGACGGUACUAUAUGAAUAAGCGCCGGCUAACUCCGUGCCAGCAGCCGCGGUAAUACGGAGGGCGCAAGCGUUACUCGGAAUCACUGGGCGUAAAGAGCGUGUAGGCGGAUUAAAAAGUCAGAAGUGAAAUCCUAUAGCUUAACUAUAGAACUGCUUCUGAAACUCUUAAUCUAGAAUAUGGGAGAGGUAGAUGGAAUUUCUGGUGUAGGGGUAAGAUCCGUAGAGAUCAGAAGGAAUACCGAUUGCGAAGGCGAUCUACUAGAACAUUAUUGACGCUGAGACGCGAAAGCGUGGGGAGCAAACAGGAUUAGAUACCCGCGUAGUC